Molecule: ribosomal RNA, 468 nt
Filed under: uncultured bacterium
Lineage: Bacteria
Description: partial 16S ribosomal RNA
Rfam family: Bacterial small subunit ribosomal RNA
Source: RNAcentral
GACGAACGCUGGCGGCGUGCUUAACACAUGCAAGUCGAACGGAAAGGCCCUGCUUUUGUGGGGUGCUCGAGUGGCGAACGGGUGAGUAACACGUGAGUAACCUGCCCUUGACUUUGGGAUAACUUCAGGAAACUGGGGCUAAUACCGGAUAGGAGCUCCUGCUGCAUGGUGGGGGUUGGAAAGUUUCGGCGGUUGGGGAUGGACUCGCGGCUUAUCAGCUUGUUGGUGGGGUAGUGGCUUACCAAGGCUUUGACGGGUAGCCGGCCUGAGAGGGUGACCGGCCACAUUGGGGCUGAGAUACGGCCCAGACUCCUACGGGAGGCAGCAGUGGGGAAUAUUGCACAAUGGGCGGAAGCCUGAUGCAGCAACGCCGCGGGCGGGAUGACGGCCUUCGGGUUGUAAACCGCUUUCGCCUGUGACGAAGCGUGAGUGACGGUAAUGGGUAAAGAAGCACCGGCUAACUACGUG